CUCACAAAUUCUGCUUUGAUCUUGAUUAGCCUGGAUGCUUCUAGGUUGGAAACUGUAUGGAGGAGGCAGAGAUCUAAAGGCCUACAGCGUGGCAUGGAUAUCCACUGGCUGGCACACCAGAAGCCAUGUUAGACUAAGAGGUGACUCAGGAUGGCCAUGCACUGGAGGUAGCAAAGCAGAGAGAAAGGAGUCUGCCUGAUGACAG
Molecule: long non-coding RNA, 205 nt
Filed under: Homo sapiens (human)
Lineage: Eukaryota; Metazoa; Chordata; Mammalia; Primates; Hominidae
Description: HSALNT0233067
Source: RNAcentral